RNAcentral lists this small RNA (1634 nucleotides) under Arabidopsis thaliana (thale cress). RNAcentral describes it as "ATSL041110". Lineage: Eukaryota; Viridiplantae; Streptophyta; Magnoliopsida; Brassicales; Brassicaceae. The record is from RNAcentral.
UGAACUUUAUGAUAGUAACUUAAUAACAUUAGUCUUAUUCAUAUAAAUAUUUAGCUAUAUAGUAAAUGCCGAAUAAUACUAUAAUAUAAACAGCAAAACACUCGACCAACACAGCUCUGUGUAGAGCACUGGGUGUGGUCGAGUGACAGGUCGAGUAACAGACAGAUAAUCUAACAGGGAUACUCGACUGCACAGUCUGUUGCCAGACAACUGGGUGGUCGAGUAUUAGGUCGAGUAAAAGUAAAGAAUUGCAGAAACUAAGCAACAAAUUACAGGAUGCAGUACACAACAGUAGAGUAAACAAUAAAAUCAAUCAGAUAAAGAAUUCCUAAGGAUGGGGUAAUUGAGUAGUUUCGUUUCCUCGGUUUACAGGUGAUUGACAUGCUCAAUAAAUUAACCCUAGACAACAAGUUCAUUAACCAAAUCUAAGUGCCACCGCAACAGAGACUCGCAAGCUAACCUAGUCCCAGACUCAAUCACCAUUGACGAGAGCUAACCUAACAAGCAUUACGAAUCAACAAGUUAAAUCCAAAACGCUCCCUGCAACCAAUACCUUGGUACAGGGUCACGAAUCUCUGGAAUUAGUGGUUCAGACAUUUCAUCGAACACCUUUUGGGCGCGGAAAUGUCUGGGCUCAAAUUCCAGUUGAUCAGAAAGCAAUAGGCAUUAAGAACAACUAAUCCAGAAGGGAUCCAUCAACCAAUACUCAAUCACCUAGCAUACUGAGAAUUCUACACUACUCUAGCCCAUCCUCAGAAACCUAUUCACUACUGAGACAUCAUAACAGAAAGCAUAAACGUUGAACGAAUUGAAAACAUGAUAACAACAAUGUAACAGCAGGAUGAUAACAGAGUGAACAACAGUAAACGAAAUUCAAGAACAGAAACUAAAUACUGAAUACUGAAUAGAUAAAGAGAAAUCCGGAUUACAAAAAGUCUAGAACACAAGGUCUGCGGAAAUAAAACUAGAUAAAAACUUUUUGUCUGCGAAAAUGAGAAGUACAUGCUACUUAUAGCCAAAUAUCCCGAAACCCUAAUACUCAAAACGACGAAGUAUUGGGAUGGGUUAAGAACUGUACUCGACCCACGUGGUCGAGUGAGAGGUCAAGUGAAUAGCUGGAGUCUUCUUUUCUUCCUUGUGCUCGAGUGUCUGGUUGAGUGCGGAAUGAAGAAGGCUCUGAAGCUUGUCAUCGAGUAUGCAGUCGAGUGGUGGUGAUGGUGAUACUCGACAUCCAGGUAGAGUGAUGAGGUCGAGUAGAGGUCUGGCAAUGGGAUGAAGUCACUCGGCGUUGGGGUCGAGUGAUGUGAUCGAGUGGUGUUAGAAGAUACUCGACUUCCAGGUUGAGUGACGAGGUCGAGUGGUGGUCUGAUGAUGGAGAUGAUGUGAUCGAGUGAUGGAACACGUCCCUAUCAACAUUGUUAACUGGAAGAAAGUGACUCGAGAUCUGAAAACAGUUAUGUGGAAAUCUGUUCAGGUAACAAGUAGUUUUUUAAAAAAGUUGACUGUAAUUGAUCUGGUACUUCUAUAAUUAUGGUGUGAUUGUUCGUGAAUGCAUUCAAGGUUUGAGCUUGAUGAAGAUUGGCAAAGUAUAUCUGUGAUAAACCAGAUGGGAAAUAUGUGGAGAGCACACAAGU